RNAcentral lists this ribosomal RNA (437 nucleotides) under uncultured Filifactor sp. Its description in RNAcentral is "partial 16S ribosomal RNA". It matches the Rfam family "Bacterial small subunit ribosomal RNA", at positions 341 to 792 of the family's 1533-position model. The record is from RNAcentral. Lineage: Bacteria; Bacillati; Bacillota; Clostridia; Peptostreptococcales; Filifactoraceae.
ACGGAAGGCAGCAGUGGGGAAUAUUGGUCAAUGGAGGAAACUCUGAACCAGCAACGCCGCGUGAAUGAUGAAGGUCUUCGGAUUGUAAAGUUCUUUUAUAAGGGAAGAAGAAAGUGACGGUACCUUAUGAAUAAGCGUCGGCUAACUACGUGCCAGCAGCCGCGGUAAUACGUAGGACGCAAGCGUUAUCCGGAAUGACUGGGCGUAAAGGGUGCGUAGGUGGUUUUGCAAGUUAGUAGCGUAACCCCGGGGCUCAACCUCGGAACUACUACUAAAACUGUAGAACUUGAGUGCAGGAGGGGCAACUGGAAUUCCUAGUGUAGCGGUGGAAUGCGUAGAUAUUAGGAGGAACACCAGUGGCGAAGGCGAGUUGCUGGACUGUAACUGACACUGAGGCACGAAAGCGUGGGGAGCAAACAGGAUUAGAUACCCUGGUA